GGGGAAUGCCAGAUUUGCAAAGCUCGUCUAUAUGUCCAUUUCCCCUCCUCUCUGUGCAGCUCUGCCUUUCCCAGAUAAGCAAAGGGAAUACCUUGAAACCACAGCUACAUAAAUGCAUCUGUUGAGAAAGGAGGUAGGUAGGAGGUAUUUUUAAAUUGAGUGCUUACCCCAACGUAAUUUCCUGCUUGUCAAAUGCCUGCAAUUGAUUGGUAAACAAAGAAUCUAUUUAGUGGCAGUCACUUCAAUAUACAUAGAAAGCAGGGGGAGUGGUGGAUGCAACAGAACAUGUUUGAUAGUUCAAGGUGUUGUGUUACAUUUUGCAUUAUUUUCAUAUUUUUUUUUCUUUUUCUUUAUAGAAGUGACAGAAACAAACGGCUUUUCAAUGUAAUAAUUUGUUUAUCAGAAAGAAACGGUCAGAGAAAUUUAGCGCAAUAUAAAAAUGUAUAAUAAAAGGAGAGAGGGGGAGCAAUAUCUGUCAGAAUUAUUAAGAUUUAAUAAAUGACAUAUAAUUUAAUGCAUACAAUCAAUGGAGGGAUAGUCUAUAGAAUUUUGGAGAAACUUUCUUUUUUUUCCGAUUUGUUAAUUUUCUUUUUUGCAACAUUGCAAAUUCAAUUUAAAAUUAGUUUGAAAUUGAACUUCAGAAAAAAUAGCAUUACAUUAAAAUGUAUGGAUUAUUGGAGUAGAAUGUCAUGCUAAGAUUUUAUUGCAUCAGUUACGGACUAUCCGUAAAAAUUUAUCAAGAUAAAAGAGCGGACACAUCUAUUUAUAUGUAAAAUAAACUAUAUGUAGGCAACUUGAUUUCCAGAAAACAAGAUUUAGUACGGUUUAGAGUAAAAAUAGUAAAAAAAACUAUAUUUUGACAUUUCAAUCAAAGCAACAACGGUAUUUUUAUAUGAAUUAUUGCCAUUUGGAAAUAAGCAAAUUUAGGGAUAUAUUUAAGGGAUAAAUAUUUCCCCAUAUAUAUAUAUAUAUAUAUAUAUAAUACACAAUAUAAUAACAAACCCCCUCUUGUUUUAUAUAUAUAUAUAUAUAUAUAUAUAUAUAAAAUAAUAUAUAUGUAUGUAUAUGCCUAAAUUUGCAUGUGUGUGUGUGGGUGGUGUAUACAUAUAUAUAUACACACACACACACACAUUUAAAUUCCCAUUUUAUUUUAAAUAUUAUUUAUCAUCAAAGAGAAGAAAAAUAAUCUAAUCUUUGUGAUUUAAAAAAAAAAAAAAUUUUCACAGAUAGAGCCCAGAAAUGCAAUUGUUCCUGUAUUCCUACAUGUUUUGAUUCUCUGGAAGUUUAAAAGCAACUUGAUCUCCAGGGGUUUGAAUUAUACAAAAGAGUUUAAUUAAAUAAACAGGAUCUAAAUGAAUAAGUCUGUUAAUUGGAUACGCUUGUGUGACUCCCACUGCAGCCCAAGGAUAAGAAACUAUAACAGAUAUUGGUAGUUCAUAAAAAGAAUAAAAAUACAAAAUACUAAAUACUUACAUUUUAUCAUUGUAUUACGUACUGCUUGUUAUAUGAAAUUCACUCAUUUUUUUUCAUGUUAUUAAGUGCGGUUUAUAAUUGCAAGCCACAAUUUUGGAACUUUUAAGAUUUAAUUUUUCUGUUUUAGAUUAACUCCAACAUGGGACAUACUUCCUAACUUGGAACUUGGAACUUUUAAAGGAUUUUGGUUGUCUUUAAUGAACUGAUUGGAAUCCGCAGAAUGGACAGUUCACUCAAGAAAACUUAUCUUAAAAGUUUAAUUAAAUCAAAAUGGCUGAACAUCGUGUGACUCUUUACUUAAAAUCACGUCCUUACAACGUAUCCUGUAAAAUUGAAUUUUUGAGCUCUGCACAUAUUUGUUUUUAAUUAUUUUAAGAAAUUACAAAAUUCAAGUAACAAAACUGCAUUUAACUAAAUAAAGUUUGAUCACUAAAAUAGAUUUGGGAUAUGAAUUCUGGGAAUACCAAACUUCGAUCCCACCCUUAAAGGAACAUAAGUCUUUUUUUCUGAGCUGUUUCUUUGCUCUAAAACAUUUUGCCAUUACACUUUAAACUAAUAUAUAUAGCAUUGACACAGCCUACAGUAAUAUCUUAUAAUUUUGUGUGGUUCAUAAAUAAUUUUGAGUCUUAAAAUUAUCUUUACUUAAUUGAAAUCUUUCCUCACCCCGAUGAGUGUAGUGAUAUUCUAUGAAUUGAAGAAUUAUUGUUGCUUUAAAAAUAUAUAUUUUGUAAGAUAAAUGUACAUCAAACGUAUAAAAAACGUUUUAUUAGAAUGUUUUAAUACUAUCUAGGGAUUUAACUAGCAUAUUAUUAACUGAGCAAUACUGUUAUUUAGUUAAAGUUAUUUUUAUAUUUACUAAAUUUUUCUAAUAUUAAACUAACAGAAUAGAGAAUAAUAUACUUAAACAAACCAGUAUUUAUUUUAUUUUUUUAUAUAAGUACAUAUUUGCAGAUUAGGUGUCUGUUUGAUGUGAUAGGUACCAUGAAAGUUUAUAUUUGAUUUUGUACGAAAUACAGGUAAUAGCCCGCAAUGAUGCAAUUUUACUGGGUAUUACCAGUGGAUAAACAAAUAGCACCAAAGGACACUACAGUAUGAGUUACACAGUAAUUGAAUAUGCACAUUUUAUAUAUGUCUAUCUAGAUCCCCUUAUACUAUUUUGUAUUUAUCAAUCCUUCCAAUUAUCCAUCCAUCCCUUCCUUCAUCCAUUAUCUAUUAUUCCCUGGGUAAAUGUGAUAUAUAUUAAAAUGCACAAUAGAUUAAUAACAUUUAUUCACACCCAAAUGAUAGAUAAAUUAUCACCUGAGUUGACUCUCUUAUUUUUUUUAUCUUCAAUCCAAAUCAUUUGAGCUGUUAAUAUUUAUUUAAAUGUGGUAUUGUUCUGCUACCUAAAACAACAUUGUAAAAAAGGCUUAAAUAUUAGACUGGUUUACUGAUUACAUUUAGGUCCAUUCUUCAUUUUUUGUAGAGAAUGAAAACUACAUUAUGUUACAGUUUUAUAAAGAACAAGUCAUAUCUUAGAAGGUAUAGACAUUGGUCUGCUUAGAUUUCUUGGUAUAAGCUGCAAUGGUUGUGUUUUAGACAGGAAAUCAGACAGAAAACUAUCCAUAGUUGGUCUCUUGUGAAAAAAUAUUGAAAACAUGCAUUAAGAAAUGUAUGUGUGUGUGUGUGAAUUUCAAGAAAUUCACAAGUCUCCAAAAUUAGCUUUAAUUACUAAUAGGAAAAAGUGGGAAAUGUAAAUUUUCCACUAAAAAGUAUGCACAUUCGUUUUUCAAAACAAAUGUUUUUAGAUUUUCUAAAAAAAAAAAAAUUCUAGUCAUCAAUACUUACUGAUAUUACUUACUUACUGAAAAGUUAAAAUUAAAAAUAAAUACAUAAUAAAAAAUAAUAUAUAUCUAUAUAUAUAUGCAAAGUUUCUAAGACUAUAACACACUCACACACAUAUGUAUAGACAGCCAGUUAUAGCUAAAGAUGUAUGUAUAUAAAAACAUGUAUAUAUCUUUGGAUAUAACAGGCUAUCGAUAUACAUGUGUGUGUUAUAGUUUUGGGAACUUUGCAGAUAGUAGUUUUUCAGAUAUUUUAAUUUUGAUAUGUGUAUCAGUUAUUAUGCUCCUCUUCCACAUCUUUUUAUACAUACAUGUUUUUCAAUAUGCUUCAUAAAAGCAAAGCUAUUCCUUAAAAUAAGUAGAUAAUUCCGGUUUAUAAAAAGAUAUUAAAACAAGACAUUAAUCUUCUAGCGUGUUCUGGAUAGAAAAUGGUUUGCCAGUACAGAUUAGAUAAUGUCACAUGUUCAAAGAAUACACUGAACAGUCAUAGGUUGUCCUCACACACCAGGUGUUUCUAAAGUACAUUUACCAUGAUGUUCACACAAGAUUUAGAUGCUAAAGAUAGCCACCACUAAUAUAAUAACACUUUCCUUAUGCUGCCGUUUAAUUUUCUUUUCGAAUGUGGUUACUAAAGAAUAACCCCCCCAAAUAUGAGAAAACUACACGAAGGAAUUUUGUGAUAGUCUGCAAAGAGGGAAACACAGAUAUUAGUUGCCUGAUCAUUUAAAAUAAUAGAACAUUAUCUUUCUGUAUAUCAUAGUUUGAUGUAUUGCUAAAAAAAAAAAAAAAAAACCCUUUGGGCUUUCAGGGGUUAAUUAAUUGUGUCUGCUGUAAAAUUUCUGCAGUUUUCAUUUAUCUGAUGGAGAUUAACAGGAGACAUCAGAACAUUUGUUUCCCAACUAAACUCUGAACUAUAUUUAUAUACGUGUAUAAGCAUCUUUAUUAACUUGGCGUGUAUUGAGUUCUUUCCUUUAAUUUUUAAAAGUCAAAAGAAAUCUAAAAAAAGAAAUAAUUAAAAAAAUAUAGUUCUUGAGCAAUAUCAAUGUUCUACAGCUGUACAACAAGUUACCUGUAAAGACCUGUCUCCACUUAAUGAAUCUUUGUCCACAUGACAUUCAGGAAGAGAAUUAAUAACUGUGGACAAUAGCAUCAUAUGAAAACUUACCCACGCUCAUGCCCAAGGCUUUUGCUUCUUAACGACUGCAUUCACAGCCCCCACCAAGUCAAGCAAAGCUACAUCACACAUAGAGAGGCUCUCUAUGGCAUCAGUUUAAACAAAAAUAAUAAAAGUUAAGUAUAAAAAUAUUGAGAGUUUAGCCCUUUAAGUCCAACAUUCUAAACUCUAACACUCUAAAAUAAGACCUUAAAAAAGUUAACUGUUGUGGAUUUCAGCAGUCGUUUUCUUUGUCGCGGCUUUUGAUUUAAGAAUUUUCUGUAAAUACUUUUCUUUUUACCCCCUUAUGAAGGUUCUGUGACAUUACUUUAAUGCAAGUAUUUGGCAAUUUUUCUUAUAAAGAAGAGACACUUUUUCCUUAAAUGAUGCUGAUAGAAUAUACAAUUAAUGUAAAAAAAAUAUUAUAAUCAAUCUUAGUAUGCAAGGUACUUUUUAAAAUGUAUCUUAUUCAAUAAGACUUAAAAACGAAAUAGCCAAAGUUGAGAUUUGUAAAAGAGAAACUUCAGAGAAUUCAUUUUUCUGGCUGUGUAAUUCUAGUCUUAAUUUCACAAGUUGGAUCACAACUUAUAAACCAUUUGUUUUGUGAAAAGACCCUCAGCUUUUCAACUUUAAUAUUUUUGUAAUCCCUUGACUUCCAGUUAAAUAGAAAUGAAUCAAUUAGUAAAUGUAUUAAUCAGGUAAAAAAAAUAUCACAUAAAAAUACUUUAUAUAUAUUGGAUCCAGUAAAUCGUGUAUUGUAGCUGUAUGUUUUUUAUUAUAUAAUGUUGUGAUCUUUAAGUAAAUUAAAUCUUAAUGAUCUCUAUAGGAUGUUGCAAUUACCCCUGCUAUUCCACAUAUAGGUUUAAAGAAUUUAAAACAAGAUGCUAGAAAAGUCAGUGAGUCUAAAUAUGAAAAAUAUACAUUUUAUUGUUUGCGGAAUACCAUUUUAUGGACAACUUAUAUCUAUUUAUAGCUUUGGAAUUGUUAAUAUUAGGCUUGUUUGAGCAGGAUCCUCUUCAACCGAUCGUUCUUAUAAGUUUUUUGUUAUUGUCCUAUUCAUAAUUAAUUCCCUCCCCCCCUCCCUAUAAUAUUGUAAAGCGCUAUGGAAUCUGUUGGCGCUAUAUGAAUGGCAAUAAUAAUAAUUAUUUCGAUGGCACAGAGGGUGCAAGUCACGUUCAAUUCUUCACCUUUCCACUAGAGACACUGUGCCUCCUGCGCGAGGAUUUAAGAUCACACAUAUGAUGGGGUUAAUUUAUUAAACCCAAGAUGUCAACAGAGGGUGGGAAAGAGAUGUCCCUGGACUAAAUACAGAAUAGUAUUUAGAAUUACUGGAAAGUGGAGAAAAUCUUGAUUUUUCCAUGUAAAGUAAAAUUUAUUUAUUUUGUUUUUAUAUGACCAAAUAUUUACAGUACAGUGAGUUUUUAUGCGUUGGUGAAUUCGUAGUGGGAAGUGAGGGAAAAAUAUUCAGUAACAUCCACAGAACUGGAAUCACACCUUGCGUAUCGGACACUUUUUUCACCAAUUGCACUGACACAAAAAAAAGAAUAUUAAUUCUGAAACAUGUCCCUAAACUCAUAUUUUUAUUCUGAAUACCACAAUCUAAAGUUAGAUACAUCGGAAGAAUCUGUGAUGGAAAAGCGAGGGUCAGGAUUUCACUUUAAAAUUAAAAACAAAACUAGCAUUGUAAUAGUAAUAAUUCACAAUUUGGAAAGAACCUGCAAAUCUAUCUAUCCAUCCACCCAUCCAUCCACCCAUCCAUCCAUCCAUCCAUCCAUCCACCCACCCAUCCAUCCAUCCAUCCACCCACCUACUUAUAACAAUAAUAACAAAGUAUUGAACCAGGAAAGGUACAUUCAGAUUACUCUGGUUUCCAAGUACAUCCUGUGGAUGUUAUUUUUGCCCAAUAUCUAGGGAAGGUUACUUAUCUAUCCAUUCCUCCCUUCAUCCAUACGUCUACAUAUCCAUCCACCCAUUUAUCCACCUAACUACUUAUACAUCCAUUUCUCCAUCCAUCCACCUACCUACUUAUCCAUCCAUUCACCAAUCUAUCCAUUCAUCCAUCCCUCCAUCCAUCCACCUACCUACUUAUCCAUCCAUUCACCAAUCUAUCCAUUCAUCCAUCCCUCCAUCCAUUCACCUACCUUCCCAUCUAUCCAUCCAUUCAUCCAUCCACCAAACUAUUCAUCCAUCCAUCCAUCCAUCCAUUCCUCCAUUCCUCCAUCCAUCUAUCCAUCUACCUACCAACCUACCUACCUACCUACCUAUCUAGCAGGUUUAUCCUUAGUUGUAUUUGGAAAUGAAAUGGUUGCCAUUGGUAGACAUACUGUGUUUUGACAACAGGUCACUCACAUUUGCAUCUGCAAGUAGAGAAUUAUUUUACACUUUGAAAGUUAAAUUUAUUUCAGCGGAAAACAGUACGAAUGUUCCAAUGACAACGGGCAAUCUAUGCCAAGCAGGGCAUAUAGAUGAUAAACCGGGCAUGUUAUCGAUAAUGGAAUUAUUAUAGGCUAAUGUUUUUCAACUAUUCGAUUGUAAGCUAGCUAAAGUGAAGCAAAAUUAGGUUGUAGUGAAAGUAACAGCCACAACAUUGCAAAUAAAAACCCAAAACAAAACAUAUACAUAUUUUCUUCUUUUGUAAAAGCAAAGCCUGGCAUCAAAAUGCAGUUUGAAAAUAAAUCUUGCUUAGUUCUCUUCUGAUUGGUACUGAAAGACCGUCUAGUACUAACUACACCUACAUUCCUAACGCCCCCCUUCCAGUAACAUUGAUAAAGUAAAGGUCUUACUCGCCUUUUUAUCUUACCGAGACUCCUUUGAUACUGCUCACCUUUCCGAGAUGAAGGGGUCUGGGUGCUGUUAGUGGUCCUUUAAAAAGGAAUUGAGGCAUACACAUAGAACAGCACGCACUUUAAAAAUAUAAUCUGCUACUAUAAAAGAUGUAAAUAUUUAUUUGAAAUAGCGAUCAGCGGCAUUUUAUUUUUUUAAAAAGAUUCAGACUGUGACACACCAGAGACAGUUUCGAAAACCAAAGUUUGUUUCUUUAGCGGUAACGUACAUCUAUAAUCGGAUCAAAACUGUUUGGACCAUCCUCUGCCAUAUUUGAAACUAUCUAUAGCUCUGGUUGAUAAGUUUAACAUUUAAAAAAAAGUUAUUUUAUUUAUGCUUUAUUAAAAACUGAAUGGAAGAUUUCUUGGUAAACUGAUUUCCUUUGGAUACUAUGUAUAAUCAGAAAGUUAAACAAUUGUUCCUUUUUACCUGCACAGUGGAAUGCUGGGAGCCAAUCAGAUGUUGACAUCACAUGUUUUGAUUGGCUUCACUAUUACAUGCUGAGAGCAAUAGUGAUAAAGGGUUUAAAAGAUUUAAUGCAAGUUCCAGAAGCCUGCAGUGAACAUCAUAAAAGCCAUAUUAUAAAAUGUUAUACCGCUGCAUUUAUUCAUGCUAAUUUCAGUCACGCCAAUUUCAGUUACUAAAGCCAUUUUAUGUUGGGACGCUCAGCAAGGCAAGUAAAGGCAUUUUCAGCUUCUAAAGGCAAACCCAGUUUAUUUCUCUGGAGUCCAGUCAAGUCACCAGUAUUACAGUCGUUUACAACAGUCUACAACGGUUCGUGGUGUGACGCUUCUCAGGAUGGACACAGUCUGUUGUUAAUGCAAAGAAAGCUAUUUUUAAAUAGAACCUUAGAAAACUAAUCAUUCUGUACCACAAACACUCCUAGAAAUUUUAAUGAAUGGAUGGAUGGAUGUUUGACUGGGUGGAUGGAUGGGUGGAUGGAUGAUGGAUGGGUGGGUGGGUGGUGGAUGGAUGGGUGGUGGGUGGGAUGGAUGGUGGUGGGUGGGUGGGUGGAUGGAUGGAUGGGUGGGUGGGUGGGUGGAUGGGUGGGUGGGUGGGUGGAUGGGGGGAUGGAUGGAUGGAUGGGUGGAUGGAUGUUUGGGUGGAUGGGUGGUUGGGUGGGUGGGUGCAUGGAUGUAUAGGUGAAUGGAUGGAAUGAUGUUUGAGUGGAUGGAUGGAUGGGUGGAUGGAUGUAUGGAUGGAUGGGUGGAUGGGUGGUUGGGUGGGUGGAUGGAUGUAUAGGUGAAUGGAUGGAUGGAUGUUUGGGUGGUUGGGUGGGUGGAUGGAUGUUUGGGUGGAUGGAUGGGUGGUUGGGUGGAUGGAUGUUUGGGUGAAUGGAUGGAUGUUUGGGUGGGUGGAUGGAUGUAUGUUUCGGUGGAUGGAUGUUUGGGUGGAUGUUUGGGUGGAUGUUUGGGUGGAUGGAUGGGUGGUUGGGUGGAUGGAUGUUUGGGUGAAUGGAUGGAUGUUUGGGUGAAUGGAUGGAUGUUUGGGUGGGUGGAUGGAUGGAUGUUUCGGUGGAUGGAUGUUUGGGUGGAUGUUUGGGUGGGUGGAUGGGUGGUUGGGUGGAUGGAUGUUUCGCUGGAUGGAUGUUUGGGUGGAUGGAUGGGUGGUUGGGUGGAUGGAUGGCAAGUGAAGUUGCUAUACUGACAUUAUAACAGGAGCUAUAACAGGCAUACAUAAUUUAUAGGGUUCUACAAUAAAUAAAAAUAUAUUAGAGGUUGCUCUCUAUACGUUCUAAAUAUAGAAUCCACAUAAAUUGAAUAAAGAACUGAAUUCAAAACACAAAAGCAGCACGAAAAGUGGAAUGUACUCAGUGCUUUGCAAUAUAAUUUUACAUGCUAGGAGCCGUUCAUUAUUCGCAAAGCUCUAAAACCAUAAAUUAUUAUUAUUGUCACUGAUAUUGCGCCAACAAAUUCUGCAGCGAUUUAUAAUUAUAAAGUAGUGAUCUAUAAGAGCAAGUAAUUGACAAAAAAUGUAAAAAAAAGGUGAAAAGGUCCUGUUUGUACAAGCUUGCAAUCUAGGAGAUAAACGUGUAUUUCUGAUCUACGACAUCAAAUUAGUGUCACAUUUAUCUACAAUAUGUAUAGAAUAAGAGUGUAACCCAAUGUGAAACGCGAACAUGAAAUAUAUUCAUACACACACAAACACAAGUACACGUUUAAUAAAUAGCAAAGUACAUUAAAAUAAAAAAAAACUAAAAUGUUGUUGUUUUAAAUAUUGUAUAUGACAUUGUGCAACUUAGUAUUUUAAUGUAAUUAAAAAUAGAUUGUUUGAUUUAAUCUAUUUUAAAAAAUUUGAAAAAAAAAUUAAACCUAAAGGAAUGGCAAAUAAAUCUUGAUACAUACUAAAAUAAAAACUAUGACUUAGAUUUACUUGUAUCUGGCUGAAAAGUGAUUUGUGAAGUCGAUUAUAAAAUUAGUUAAUAAAAUAAUAUUUUUUAGUCAUAAUAAAUACAUAUGCAGACAUACAUUAAAAAAAUAAGUAUUUUCAGAUCUGAUUUGCCUUUAUUUUAUUUAAAAUUGUAAAAAUCAGAGGAACAGAUUGUAAUUUAUAAAUAUAAAAUAUAUAGAUGUUCACUAGGCAACAGGUGACAAAGCUCAGCAAUUCAAAUAUAUACAAUUUAGUUAUAAAAACACUAAUAUGAAAGAUAUAUUUUUUUAAGCUUAGAAUUAACAAUUUAUUCCAUUCACACACAAGUGCUGUGUACUAAUCCUUUUGAUAAGCUGCAGUAAGUUCUCUGUAGAAGCAGUAAGUGUUUUGGCUCUCGUUGCUCUUAAAACCUUAAAAAUUUACUUCACUAAGUCGUUGAUGGUGUUUAGAUAAAAGGGUGAUUUAUUUUAUUUACAUACAAAAGAGCCCAAGACUAUAUAUUAUUUAUUGUUAUUUAGUAUAUUUGAAUUAUUUAAUAAAUGCAUAUUUAUUUUUAAGAACACUAAGAAAAAUGAGGAUUACAAGACCAGGACUACUGUGGGUUUAAACAGAGACUAACAACCGCUACAUUUUCUGGAGAAAAAAAAAGGGAAGCAGGGAG
Molecule: non-coding RNA, 10303 nt
Organism: Pelobates cultripes (western spadefoot toad)
Lineage: Eukaryota; Metazoa; Chordata; Amphibia; Anura; Pelobatidae
Source: the annotation of a GenBank genome assembly